RNAcentral lists this ribosomal RNA (162 nucleotides) under uncultured bacterium. RNAcentral's name for it is "partial 16S rRNA". It matches the Rfam family "Bacterial small subunit ribosomal RNA", at positions 355 to 511 of the family's 1533-position model. The record is from RNAcentral.
UAGGGAAUCUUCCACAAUGGNGAAGCCUGAUGGAGCAACGCCGCGUGUGUGAUGAAGGGUUUCGGCUCGUAAAACACUGUUGUAAGAGAAGAAUGACAUUGAGAGUAACUGUUCAAUGUGUGACGGUAUCUUACCAGAAAGGAACGGCUAAAUACGUGCCAC